CCUACGGGGGGCUGCAGUGGGGAAUAUUGGACAAUGGGGGGAACCCUGAUCCAGCCAUGCCGCGUGUGUGAAGAAGGCCCUCGGGUUGUAAAGCACUUUCAGUGAGGAAGAACGCCUGGUGGUUAAUACCCAUCAGGAAAGACAUCACUCACAGAAGAAGCACCGGCUAACUCCGUGCCAGCAGCCGCGGUAAUACGGAGGGUGCGAGCGUUAAUCGGAAUUACUGGGCGUAAAGCGCGCGUAGGUGGCUUGAUAAGCCGGUUGUGAAAGCCCCGGGCUCAACCUGGGAACGGCAUCCGGAACUGUCAAGCUAGAGUGCAGGAGAGGAAGGUAGAAUUCCCGGUGUAGCGGUGAAAUGCGUAGAGAUCGGGAGGAAUACCAGUGGCGAAGGCGGCCUACUGGACUGACACUGACACUGAGGUGCGAAAGCGUGGGUAGCAAACAGGAUUAGAUACCCUAGUAGUC
Molecule: ribosomal RNA, 465 nt
Filed under: Vreelandella stevensii
Lineage: Bacteria; Pseudomonadati; Pseudomonadota; Gammaproteobacteria; Oceanospirillales; Halomonadaceae
Description: partial 16S ribosomal RNA
Rfam family: Bacterial small subunit ribosomal RNA
Source: RNAcentral